AUCGUGGGGGAUAACUGCGCGAAAGCGUUGCUAAUACCGCAUACGACCUGAGGGUGAAAGCAGGGGACCGCAAGGCCUUGCGUCGAUGGAGCGGCCGAUGCCGGAUUAGCUAGUUGGUGAGGUAAAGGCUCACCAAGGCGACGAUCCGUAGCUGGUCUGAGAGGACGACCAGCCCACACUGGGACUGAGACACGGCCCAGACUCCUACGGGAGGCAGCAGUGGGGAAUAUUGGACAAUGGGCGAAAGCCUGAUCCAGCAAUGCCGCGUGUGUGAAGAAGGUCUUCGGAUUGUAAAAGCACUUUUUGGCGGGAAAGAAAUGGUCUGUGCUAAUACCACGGAUUGAUGACGGUACCCGCAGAAUAAGCACCGGCUAACUACGUG
Molecule: ribosomal RNA, 382 nt
Filed under: uncultured bacterium
Lineage: Bacteria
Description: bacterial SSU rRNA
Rfam family: Bacterial small subunit ribosomal RNA
Source: RNAcentral